UGGGUUUAAAGGGAGCGUAGGCGGGAGGUCAAGUCAGCUGUGAAAUGUAUCUGCUUAACGGGUACACUGCAGUUGAAACUGGUUUUCUUGAGUGCGUAAGAGGCAGGCGGAAUUCGUUGUGUAGCGGUGAAAUGCUUAGAUAUGACGAGGAACUCCUAUUGCGAAGGCAGCUUGCUGGGUCGUUACUGACGCUGAUGCUCGAAGGUGCGGGGAUCAAACAGGAUUAGAUACCCUGGUAGUCCGCACAGUAAACUAUGGAUACUCUCUGCCGGCGAUACAUUGUCGGUGGCCAAGCGAAAGCGUUAAGUAUCCCACCUGGGGAGUACGUUCGCAAGAAUGAAACUCAAAGGAAUUGACGGGGGCCCGCACAAGCGGAGGAACAUGUGGUUUAAUUCGAUGAUACGCGAGGAACCUUACCCGGGUUUGAAUUGCUGAUGGCGGUAUUUGGAGACAGAUACUUCCCUUCGGGGCGUCAGUGAAGGUGCUGCAUGGUUGUCGUCAGCUCGUGCCGUGAGGUGUCGGCUUAAGUGCCAUAACGAGCGCAACCCUUGCCGUUAGUUGCCAUCGGGUCAUGCCGGGCACUCUAUUGGGACUGCCAUCGUAAGAUGUGAGGAAGGUGGGGAUGACGUCAAAUCAGCACGGCCCUUAUGUCCGGGGCGACACACGUGUUACAAUGGGGGGUACAGUGGGAAGCUACCUGGCGACAGGUUGCGGAUCCCCAAAUCCUUUCUCAGUUCGGAUCGGAGUCUGUAACUCGACUCCGUGAAGUUGGAUUCGCUAGUAAUCGCGCAUCAGCCAUGGCGCG
Molecule: ribosomal RNA, 805 nt
Filed under: uncultured bacterium
Lineage: Bacteria
Description: bacterial SSU rRNA
Rfam family: Bacterial small subunit ribosomal RNA
Source: RNAcentral